This is a long non-coding RNA of Toxotes jaculatrix (banded archerfish), 292 nucleotides long. RefSeq lists it as uncharacterized. Lineage: Eukaryota; Metazoa; Chordata; Actinopteri; Toxotidae. The record is from RefSeq and is a predicted model, not a curated record. The transcript has 3 exons.
GUGGUUCCUCAUGGUCUCUUAGUGUUUUUUCCCUCCUUCCCUUUAACGGAAAAAACCCUGGAAUUCUGGAGAGCUAAUGGACGUGCAGAUCGCAUUGACAGCAUAAAGCCCAUGUUUGAUGAACCUAAAGGAAAGGGCACCUUCACUGAGUUAUGGACGGAUUCUACAGCAAAGUCAACGAUUCAGCAUCCAAAGGGGGAUGCUUCUUUGCUGUGUGUCGGGGGAAGGUGAGGUUGUUAUGUUUUCAUGGAGUCUGGAGAAAUGCUUCAGAAUAUACUCUUUUUACCUUGGC